CUUUCUUUGCUGGCGACCGGCGCACGGGUGAGUAACACGUAUCCAACCUGCCCUUUACUCGGGGAUAGCCUUUCAAAAGAAAGAUUAAUACCCGAUAGCAUAAUGAUUCCGCAUGGUUUCAUUAUUAAAGGAUUCCGGCAAAGGAUGGGGAUGCGUUCCAUUAGGUUGUUGGUGAGGUAACGGCCCACCAAGCCUUCGAUGGAUAGGGGUUCUGAGAGGAAGGUCCCCCACAUUGGAACUGAGACACGGUCCAA
This 254-nucleotide ribosomal RNA is filed under the name uncultured bacterium. RNAcentral describes it as "partial 16S ribosomal RNA". It matches the Rfam family "Bacterial small subunit ribosomal RNA", at positions 79 to 334 of the family's 1533-position model. The record is from RNAcentral.